UGCCCUAGUAACGGCGAGUGAAGCGGCAACAGCUCAAAUUUGAAAUCUGGCUUUCGGGCCCGAGUUGUAAUUUGUAGAGGAUGAUUUUGAUGCGGUGCCUUCCGAGUUCCCUGGAACGGGACGCCAUAGAGGGUGAGAGCCCCGUCUGGUUGGAUGCCAAAUCUCUGUAAAUCUCCUUCGACGAGUCGAGUAGUUUGGGAAUGCUGCUCUAAAUGGGAGGUAUAUGUCUUCUAAAGCUAAAUACCGGCCAGAGACCGAUAGCGCACAAGUAGAGUGAUCGAAAGAUGAAAAGCACUUUGAAAAGAGAGUUAAAAAGUACGUGAAAUUGUUGAAAGGGAAGCGUUUAUGACCAGACUUGGGCUUGGUUAAUCAUCUGGGGUUCUCUCCAGUGCACUUUUCCAGCCCAGGCCAGCAUCAGUUUUCGCCGGGGGAUAAAGACUUCGGGAAUGUGGCUCCCCUCGGGGAGUGUUAUAGCCCGUUGUGUAAUACCCUGGUGGGGACUGAGGUUCGCGCUUCUGCAAGGAUGCUGGCGUAAUGGUCAUCAACGACCCGUCUUGAAACACGGACCAAGGAGUCGUCUUCGUAUGCGAGUGUUCGGGUGUCAAACCCCUACGCGUAAUGAAAGUGAACGCAGGUGAGAGCUUCGGCGCAUCAUCGACCGAUCCUGAUGUUCUCGGAUGGAUUUGAGUAAGAGCAUACGGGGCCGGACCCGAAAGAAGGUGAACUAUGCCUGUGUAGGGUGAAGCCAGAGGAAACUCUGGUGGAGGCUCGCAGCGGUUCUGACGUGCAAAUCGAUC
Molecule: ribosomal RNA, 797 nt
Filed under: Fusarium culmorum
Lineage: Eukaryota; Fungi; Ascomycota; Sordariomycetes; Hypocreales; Nectriaceae
Description: partial large subunit ribosomal RNA
Rfam family: Eukaryotic large subunit ribosomal RNA
Source: RNAcentral